Arvicanthis niloticus (Nile rat) is the source of this 556-nucleotide long non-coding RNA. RefSeq lists it as uncharacterized. The record is from RefSeq and is a predicted model, not a curated record. NCBI's taxonomy places the organism in Eukaryota, Metazoa, Chordata, Mammalia, Rodentia, Muridae.
GUUUCUUUCCGUUGGAUCAGAGGGAGUCUGUGGCUCUACUUUGUCACUGUUCAGUUGUUCAAUUCUGCAGUGAAGGAACCUGCUCCCCUGGAGCAUCUAACCACGGAGUACUGAAGACCUUCAAUUCACUCCCAGCUCUGGGGUGUGCACCAUCUGGAACCGUAUCUUCAAGUCAGCAGCUCUGUCUGCCUGCUGUCUUGAGUCGUCCAUGUGGCCCCAUCCCAAUGAGUGGGCCAUGCAAGCUGCAUGUUGAAAUGCUGCCCUGCAAUGCUGGCACCACCUCCCAUUCAUUCAUGCAGCAUGCCUCAGCCAGCCAGAACCAGGACAUUUGGGGUUCAUACUCUUGGUUAUCUUGGGAGUUGAUGCUGGCUGUUGGCUGGUACUAGGAGAGGAAGCAGAACCUCCUCCAUCUUGAUGGGCACAUAAGAUGACAGUAAUUGCACCACUUUUGAGCUAUUGAAAGGAAAAAGAGAGUCAUUUCUGAAGAGGCUCAGUGCUUAUCAGAAUGUUCAUCAGGAUCAAGGGGUUCGAGAUUCCUGAGUACACGGACCUCACU